Molecule: long non-coding RNA, 106 nt
Organism: Haliotis rubra (blacklip abalone)
Lineage: Eukaryota; Metazoa; Mollusca; Gastropoda; Lepetellida; Haliotidae
Exons: 3
Source: RefSeq, a predicted model, not a curated record
CUCGAUCUACAAAGCGUUUGUAGCGCAACGACAUUCGUAAGCCUAUGAUAAACUAUAGAGUUACGACAAGUCGUAACGUUACGAAUGCUUUGUGGAACGACAGCAU